UCUAUCCCAGUUCGGAUUGCAGUCUGCAACUCGACUGCAUGAAGCUGGAAUCGCUAGUAAUCGUGAAUCAGAAUGUCACGGUGAAUACGUUCCCGGGUCUUGUACACACCGCCCGUCACACCAUGGGAGUCGGAUAUGCCCGAAGUCAGUGACCCAACCGCAAGGAGGGAGCUGCCGAAGGUGGAGCCGAUGACUGGGGUGAAGUCGUAACAAGGUACC
RNAcentral lists this ribosomal RNA (219 nucleotides) under uncultured bacterium. RNAcentral describes it as "partial 16S ribosomal RNA". It matches the Rfam family "Bacterial small subunit ribosomal RNA", at positions 1282 to 1500 of the family's 1533-position model. The record is from RNAcentral.